CUUGUCCAGUUCGCUAGAUGCUUAGAUACAAUCAAAGACACAAUCACGAUUAUAUAUGCGCGCACAUAGUCAUCGGAUGUCGGUUCGAUGGCUCCAAGAGGAACGUUGCAAUCCCGCGUGCGCAUACACGCUUUAUGGCAGAUCUUUCUGACGAACCAUGAAACGUCCUUGCAGAGGAUCGCACAGUUCGAUUCACAUAAUGAUGAUCUGUCGUCGUCUGCCUCUACUUCCAUGGCUACCAUCACCACCACCAAAAUCAUCAUUACCACCACGUUUCUCCCCAUAUCUCUUCUUUCUUCUUUGGCCUUAUUUUAUGUAUACACAAUGGACUUUAUGAACGAACAACACCAUGUGUAUAUAUAACAUGACCAAACCUAUAAUUAUUGGUUUCUACUGAUGAUGGUAUACGUAUGAGG
Molecule: long non-coding RNA, 416 nt
Filed under: Capsella rubella
Lineage: Eukaryota; Viridiplantae; Streptophyta; Magnoliopsida; Brassicales; Brassicaceae
Description: long non-coding RNA (CRUB_LNC001142)
Source: RNAcentral